This 492-nucleotide ribosomal RNA is filed under the name uncultured bacterium. RNAcentral describes it as "partial 16S ribosomal RNA". It matches the Rfam family "Bacterial small subunit ribosomal RNA", at positions 29 to 507 of the family's 1533-position model. The record is from RNAcentral.
AGUGAACGCUGGCGGUAGGCCUAACACAUGCAAGUCGAACGGCAGCACAGUAAGAGCUUGCUCUUACGGGUGGCGAGUGGCGGACGGGUGAGGAAUACAUCGGAAUCUACUUUUUCGUGGGGGAUAACGUAGGGAAACUUACGCUAAUACCGCAUACGACCUACGGGUGAAAGCAGGGGAUCUUCGGACCUUGCGCGAUUGAAUGAGCCGAUGUCGGAUUAGCUAGUUGGCGGGGUAAAGGCCCACCAAGGCGACGAUCCGUAGCUGGUCUGAGAGGAUGGUCAGCCACACUGGAACUGAGACAAGGUCCAGACUCCUACGGGAGGCAGCAGUGGGGAAUAUUGGACAAAGGGCGCAAGCCUGAUCCAGCCAUACCGCGUGGGUGAAGAAAGCCUUCGGGUUGUAAAGCCCUUUUGUUGGGAAAGAAAAGCAGCAGGUUAAUACCCCGCUGUUCUGACGGUACCCAAAGAAUAAGCACCGGCUAACUUCGUG